UGUGUGCCUUGGCCUUAUGCCAAUAGGAUAUGUAGUUAGACUAGAUCUAUGUAUUCAUAUCCUUACCAUAUUGGUAUUGUAUAAUUCCCUAUAUAAAGGGCUCCUAUCAAUGAAUAAGAUGAUUCUCUUGCUAUCUCUUUGUCUCUACACUUUAUUCUUCAUCAAAUUUCUUAUUUUUGAUUAAAUUCUCGAGAAUUCACUCGCAUCCAAACACACAAUUAAGGAUUAUGGUCAAAGGUAAGGGGAAAGCUUAGUUUGGUUUUAAUCAUAUCUUCAUCUUCGUUAUAAAUCUGGAAUAUACUCAAAUUAAUCCUCGGAGGAGAAGUGGAACAAAGUACUACUUGGUCUUAAAGAAGCGUCAAUCAUUACAAUAUAAACACCUACACAAUGGUUUAUCAAUUUUGACAAGGAACUUUAACUAUGUAUAUGCUUAGAGUGAAAAUGAUUAUAUAAAUUACAAAUUUCAACCUAGGUGGAUAGUAAAUCGUAACUACUGUAGUGUUUCCCAAGUUACUUUUAUUUUAAGUUCCUACACACAUCAGUGAGCUAUGACUUGGUUGGUUAAAGUGUUUAACUGACAACUUUGAGGUCAUGGGUUCAAACCUCACGACAUGUGUAUGGUGUGUGAGUUAUUAAUAAAAGUUAACAAAAAAAAAAAAACACACGUUCCUUCCAUCGAUAUCGGGCAUUGGCGGAGCCAUGAAGAGACCAAAGGGUGCCAUGGCACCCCCCAAUCAUAUGUUGACACCUUGCAAACUAGUAUCAAAUUUAAUUAAUUUUGUUAAAAUCAAUGAAACUUUGAUGUAUGGCACACCCUAAAAUUAAUAGUUGGUCUAUUUUUUAUAGCUAAAUUAAUUAAAUUUUUUGAUGAAUUGCUACUUUUACAGUUUUAAUGGACGAUAUAAUUAAAUUGAUCACUUUUAUUUUUGUCCUUCUUUUAUAUAUCUAAUUUAUUAAAACAAAUUUUAAUGUUUUUUUUUCUAGAUCAUAAGAAAAUUUGUAUUUAAUAGCAUUUCCAUAAUAAAACUACACAAUAGUUUGUAUUUAUCAAAAUGUCCCCUCCCAUUCUUGUAUUCGACAAUCUCAUUAAUCAAAACUUG
RNAcentral lists this long non-coding RNA (1100 nucleotides) under Fragaria vesca (wild strawberry). Its description in RNAcentral is "long non-coding RNA (FVES_LNC004224)". Lineage: Eukaryota; Viridiplantae; Streptophyta; Magnoliopsida; Rosales; Rosaceae. The record is from RNAcentral.